GACGAACGCUGGCGGCGUGCUUAACACAUGCAAGUCGAGCGGUAAGGCCCUUUCGGGGGUACACGAGCGGCGAACGGGUGAGUAACACGUGGGUGACCUGCCCUCAGCUCUGGGAUAAGACCCGGGAAACCGUAGGGUCGUAAUACCGGAUAUGACUUCAUGACGCAUGUUGUGGAGUGGAAAGCCUUGUGCGGCUGAGGAUGGGCCCGCGGCCUAUCAGCUUGUUGGUGGGGUGANGGCCUACCAAGGCGACGACGGGUAGCCGGCCUGAGAGGGCGACCGGCCACACUGGGACUGAGAUACGGCCCAGACUCCUACGGGAGGCAGCAGUGGGGAAUCUUGCGCAAUGGGCGAAAGCCUGACGCAGCGACGCCGCGUGAGGGAUGACGG
RNAcentral lists this ribosomal RNA (390 nucleotides) under uncultured bacterium. Its description in RNAcentral is "bacterial SSU rRNA". It matches the Rfam family "Bacterial small subunit ribosomal RNA", at positions 28 to 414 of the family's 1533-position model. The record is from RNAcentral.